UCUCCUCCCGGUACCCUUCUU
RNAcentral lists this microRNA (21 nucleotides) under Brachypodium distachyon (stiff brome). Its description in RNAcentral is "bdi-miR7722-5p". Lineage: Eukaryota; Viridiplantae; Streptophyta; Magnoliopsida; Poales; Poaceae. The record is from miRBase by way of RNAcentral.